RNAcentral lists this transfer RNA (66 nucleotides) under Chrysops niger (black deer fly). Its description in RNAcentral is "tRNA-Gly". It matches the Rfam family "tRNA". From Rfam's summary of the family: Transfer RNA (tRNA) molecules are approximately 80 nucleotides in length. Their secondary structure includes four short double-helical elements and three loops (D, anti-codon, and T loops). Further hydrogen bonds mediate the characteristic L-shaped molecular structure. tRNAs have two regions of fundamental functional importance: the anti-codon, which is responsible for specific mRNA codon recognition, and the 3' end, to which the tRNAs corresponding amino acid is attached (by aminoacyl-tRNA synthetases). tRNAs cope with the degeneracy of the genetic code in two manners: having more than one tRNA (with a specific anti-codon) for a particular amino acid; and 'wobble' base-pairing, i.e. permitting non-standard base-pairing at the 3rd anti-codon position. Lineage: Eukaryota; Metazoa; Arthropoda; Insecta; Diptera; Tabanidae. The record is from RNAcentral.
AUUUAUAUAGUAUAAAAGUAUAUAUGACUUCCAAUCAUAAGGACUAAUUAUUAAUUAGUAUAAAUA